RNAcentral lists this transfer RNA (75 nucleotides) under Scinax perpusillus (Bandeirantes snouted treefrog). RNAcentral describes it as "tRNA-Ile". Lineage: Eukaryota; Metazoa; Chordata; Amphibia; Anura; Hylidae. The record is from RNAcentral.
GGAAGCGUGCCCGAAAGAUAAGGACCUCCUUGAUAGGGAGGAUUAUAGGGGCUCAAACCCCCUCACUUCCUUAGA